Molecule: ribosomal RNA, 203 nt
Filed under: Clostridioides difficile
Lineage: Bacteria; Bacillati; Bacillota; Clostridia; Peptostreptococcales; Peptostreptococcaceae
Description: partial 23S ribosomal RNA
Rfam family: Bacterial large subunit ribosomal RNA
Source: RNAcentral
CAACAACAGACUCGGUGAAAUUGUAAUUCCGGUGAAGAUGCCGGAUACCUGCGACAGGACGGAAAGACCCCAUGGGGCUUUACUGUAGCUUGACAUUGGGUCUUGGUACUACAUGUACAGGAUAGGUGGGAGGCUUUGAAACCAGGACGCCAGUUUUGGCGGAGCCAUCCUUGGGAUACCACCCUUGUAGUACUGGGACUCUA